AAGAAACAGGCAAAGGUUCUUACCAGCACUCCAAAUGACUCAUUAUCUAUCACGGUAAAAGAAAAUUAGGUCGUCCAAAAUGAAAAAGAAAGCAAAACAGCCGCCUGGAGCAAGAGAGAAAGGUAAGGAAAAGAAAAAAAAAAAAAAAAAAAAAGGGGGAAAAGGACCAUUCACUCCAUGGUUUUCAGAAGCCUAAACAAGCCAGCUGCUUCCCUAAUUCGUGAAAACUCGAUACAAAAGGCUUGGACUUCAAUGUAGAGAUCCUUAACAUCAAUAAUUUUAUUCCGAAUCAAACUCUGCAGGAAAACACAAACAAGUCUGACAAGCCUGUUCUGCAUGUAUUUAUCCUUAAUAUUUUCACAGGAUGAAAUACAAUUCGUUAUGUACAUGCGUACAAAUGCCUUUGGCAGUUCAACUGCUGUUGUAAGCCUGUUAACGACUUCCAUUGAAUGCAGACUCAUGUCCAUAUUGACAAGUACCGUAAAAUAGUCGGCAAUUUCAGGAGAAUUUAUCAACUUAGUAAGAACUUCAACUGCAAUUAGGGGAUUGUUCUCCACGAGUUCAGGCAACUUCCUUGGCGUCAAUCCACAGUGAUAUACAAGCUUCGGGUCAUUUGCCAACUCCACCAGGACUUGCUCUUGCUGUGCAGGAGCCAGUGGUCCCUUCAAAGCUUUUGUAAUCAAGUCCCUUACAGCUGCACCCUUGCUUGUAUCCGCACACAUACCAUGAUCCCACAUAAGCUCAUGAUUGUUGUCAGGAUUGAUCCACACUAGCUCACCAUCUUGUAUUGGCAACAUUGGUGGAUGAGGCCUGAUCCACUGAGGACCUAAUCCCUCUAGUGACAAGUGCGCCAACAACUCAGUGAGAGUCUCGUCUCGAUCUCCAGAUCCAAUUUUAGGUUUGGCUCCAGGUUGCAAAUCAAACUCUUGCGAAUUUGCAUCACAGCUUUGGGGUACAUCAGGAUCCGGCACUACAUUUUUCACUGCAGCAUUUUUAAAAAAGCAAUUAUAAGGUUCCGAAUGGACUUUAUCACAGUAUUGUUCCUGCAACUGUUCACAUUGUGGAAAAGCAUGGGCCGAAGAAUCAAAGAGUUUGAUGUAAUUUGCAGCAGACUGUUCAAGAAACUCUUUGCCACCAUUAGAGCCUCCAGAGACUAACAACUGAAGAAUAAAUGCCCUCUCACAUUUUUCAGCCUCAUCAUCACAUGCUGCAUUAACAAUAUAAGAUAUGAAUGGGUUCACAGAAUUCGGCAGGGACGAAUAAGCCUGGUGAAGAAUAGCAAAUGCAAUUAAACGUUCAGUAGCUUUGAGCAUCCUUCUAUCCUCUAAGAGGAGUAAGAGAGAAUUGCAGACAGCAAAAUAGCGAGGGCGGCCAAGUUUCGAGCUGAAUUCUGCCAAGAUUUCAUCUAUUGGCCGUUGCUCCGAUGUUAGCAACGCGUGCACCACAUUCGAUUCUUCAAAGCUCAAAGCCACAUAUUUAUUUUUUUUUUUUUAAUCGUUACCUUUAUAAUUAUUUCAAUAAGUUACAGUAGAACCAUAGGAGAAAGGAUAUUGAGAUGGACAAUCACUCGUAGUUAGAGAAUCAUAAACG
RNAcentral lists this unclassified non-coding RNA (1590 nucleotides) under Hevea brasiliensis (rubber tree). The record is from RNAcentral. Lineage: Eukaryota; Viridiplantae; Streptophyta; Magnoliopsida; Malpighiales; Euphorbiaceae.